AUUGAACGCUGGCGGCAGGCCUAACACAUGCAAGUCGAGCGGAUGAAGGGAGCUUGCUCCUGGAUUCAGCGGCGGACGGGUGAGUAAUGCCUAGGAAUCUGCCUGGUAGUGGGGGAUAACGUCCGGAAACGGGCGCUAAUACCGCAUACGUCCUGAGGGAGAAAGUGGGGGAUCUUCGGACCUCACGCUAUCAGAUGAGCCUAGGUCGGAUUAGCUAGUUGGUGGGGUAAAGGCCUACCAAGGCGACGAUCCGUAACUGGUCUGAGAGGAUGAUCAGUCACACUGGAACUGAGACACGGUCCAGACUCCUACGGGAGGCAGCAGUGGGGAAUAUUGGAAAAUGGGCGAAAGCCUGAUCCAGCCAUGCCGCGUGUGUGAAGAAGGUCUUCGGAUUGUAAAGCACUUUAAGUUGGGAGGAAGGGCAGUAAGUUAAUACCUUGCUGUUUUGACGUGACCAACAGAAUAAGCACCGGCGAACUUCGU
This 483-nucleotide ribosomal RNA is filed under the name uncultured bacterium. RNAcentral's name for it is "partial 16S ribosomal RNA". It matches the Rfam family "Bacterial small subunit ribosomal RNA", at positions 30 to 506 of the family's 1533-position model. The record is from RNAcentral.